AGCGAACGCUGGCGGCAGGCCUAACACAUGCAAGUCGAGCGCCCGUAGCAAUACGGGAGCGGCAGACGGGUGAGUAACACGUGGGAACGUACCCUUCGGUUCGGAAUAACCCAGGGAAACUUGGACUAAUACCGAAUACGUCCGUAAGGAGAAAGAUUUAUCGCCGAAGGAUCGGCCCGCGUCCGAUUAGCUAGUUGGUGGGGUAAUGGCCCACCAAGGCUACGAUCGGUAGCUGGUCUGAGAGGANGAUCAGCCACACUGGGACUGAGACACGGCCCAGACUCCUACGGGAGGCAGCAGUGGGGAAUAUUGGACAAUGGGGGAAACCCUGAUCCAGCAAUUCCGCGUGGGUGAAGAAGGCCUGGUUGUAAG
RNAcentral lists this ribosomal RNA (372 nucleotides) under uncultured bacterium. RNAcentral describes it as "bacterial SSU rRNA". It matches the Rfam family "Bacterial small subunit ribosomal RNA", at positions 29 to 429 of the family's 1533-position model. The record is from RNAcentral.